Molecule: long non-coding RNA, 966 nt
Organism: Rosa rugosa (rugosa rose)
Lineage: Eukaryota; Viridiplantae; Streptophyta; Magnoliopsida; Rosales; Rosaceae
Exons: 3
Source: RefSeq, a predicted model, not a curated record
UAAAUACAAAAAAAUCAGAUUUCUCAAUAAGGAAACCCGAAAAUUUCCAGAUUUUUCUCCUCCUCGCUGCCUUGGCUUCACGGCGUCGCCACGACUUCAUCCGGCCACCUAUGGCCAUGAAAUUGAUAUCAAUCUCUUCGCCUUGAAACCAGCUUUCCAUUCAUAUAUGUCUUGCAUCCUAUCAUUCACCAUAGACAACGAAUCGAAGCAAAGAAGGUCAGACCAUUUUUCAUGCAUUUCUUCAAAUUCCAGCCAACUCCGGCAAAGGUAGGAGGGGAGACCAACUGGGCUUUGUUCGCCUUGCCAUGCUCUAUAAACUCACCAAGUUUCACAUCUCGAUUCAACCCGAGGAAGACGAAUUUCAGAUUUGAGCGAUUUUGGGCGAUUUCGGCCUCUUUCUUCUUGAGGUGAUUGGCGGAUUGAUUUGGCGGACGAUUCGUAAAAUCGUUGUUGAGCUGUUUAGAAGACGCAACGGGAAUUAGAGCGGGUAUUCCUACAGGACAGGAGAACCAGGACGGUGAUCGUGCGGUUAGAGCAAUUGUUAGAGUUUUACAGCAAUUGUAAGUUGUGAGGUGUGUUAUGCUCAUUUGAGCUUUACAAUAUUGCUUGUGAGAGUGAAUUGUAAUAAUGAACUCGAAGUUUCGAGAUUUGGAUUUUGUAAUUGUAAUUAUUCAUGUUUCGGAUUUGAAUUUACUAUUCAAAAUUCGGGGCGUGACAUAGCUCAGGCAAGCACCCAUAAAGGGUGGGUAGUGCCACUGACUCUCAAGGGCAUGGAGGGGUUUCAGAGAGAGAAAAAUCUCUCUCCCCGAGUAAUAGCUCUUCUCGGUUUAUGGUAGUGAGAGAAAAAUUAGGAAGUUGGUGUUAAAUGUGGUCAAUUUUUUGUGAACGAGGAGCAUAAAUUUGAUUCGAGAAAACUAGUUCACCCAAUGGCAGCAUUAUGAUUUCUCAAAAAAAAAAAAAAAAAAA